Entelurus aequoreus (snake pipefish) is the source of this 316-nucleotide small nucleolar RNA. The record is from RefSeq and is a predicted model, not a curated record. NCBI's taxonomy places the organism in Eukaryota, Metazoa, Chordata, Actinopteri, Syngnathiformes, Syngnathidae.
GCCCUGUGAUGUAAACAUGGCAGUUUUGUGAUCCUGUUAGACCAGGGAUUAUGAUACUCUAGCCUUCGGUUUUGACGGGUAAUCUUGGUAGUGUCAUAGUUAUAUUUCACUGCUGUAAGGGCCCACCUAUAACAAAACUGGCACUACUUCUAUGAAACUUGUCUUCAAAGUAAUGAGGCAAGGCAUCUAGGAGAUGUCAAACAAUGUAUGGAUAGUUGUUUGUGUGAUGAAUGUAUACGUAACAGUUGGCAAGAGGGAAUAAUCUCUUUGGAUGGUUUGCCAGGUAUGAGCAGCAAUCUUUGGUAAUCUGAGGGCA